CUCCUCCUUUCAGUAGCUCGGCAAUAUCUCCUCCUUUGAAUAUUUUGAACUUGGAAGUGUAUAACAAUCUAUCUAUCGUAUCGUCUCUGUCCAAAAGAAAAAAAUUCUCCCCGAGUUUGAUUUCGGUUCUCAUAUUUAUAAUGGGAGGGGUGGUGAGAGAUAUUUUGAGGGAUUCGAAAUUCGAAUUUGAAUUUUGAAUAGGUUGUUGGGGUUGGUUGAAAGAUAUUUGGGAUUUUGUUGAGAAUUCGAAAUUCGAAAUCGAAUUUUGAAUGGGUUGUUGGAUGGUUGGAGGGUAUUUUGGAAAUUGGUUGGAAUUCAAAAUUCGAAAUUUGAAUUUUGAAUGGGUUGUUGGAGGAUAUUUUGGGAAUUGGUUAGGAAUUCAAAAUUCGAAAUUUGAAUUUUGAAUGGGUUGUUGGAGGAUAUUUUGGAAAUUGGUUUGGGAAUUCGAAAUUCGAAAUCGAAUUUUGAAUGGGUUGUUGGAGGAUAUUUUGGUAGUUGGUUGGGAAUUCGAAAUUCAAAAUCGAAUUUUGAAUGGAUUGUUGGAGGAUAUUUUGGAAAUUGGUUGGGAAUUCGAAAUUCGAAAUCGAAUUUUGAAUGGGUUGUUGGAGGAUAUUUUGGGAAUUGGUUAGGGAUUCGAAAUUCGAAAUCGAAUUUUCAAUGGGUUGUUGGAUAAUUGAAGGAUAUUUUGGUGAGUCGGUUAGGGAUUCGAAAUUCGAAAUCGAAUUUUGAAUGGGUUGUUGGAUGGUUGAAGGAUAUUUUGGUGAGUUGGUUAGAGAUUCGAAAUUCGAAAUCAAAUUUUGAAUGGGUUGUUAGAUUGUUGAAGGAUAUUUUUGGGAGUCGGUUAGGGAUUCAAAAUUCGAAUGGAUGUUGGUUGGGGAUUCGAAAUUCAAAAUUGAAUUUUGAAUGGGUUGUGGGAUGGAUAGGUAUUCAAAAUUCGAAUGAUUGUUGGUUGAGAGAUAUUUUGGGCGUUGGUUCGAAGUUCGAAAUCGAAUUUCGAAUAGGGUUAUUAGGAUAACAGAUAUUUUCUGGGGGUUUAAAAAUUUAAAAUCGAAUUUGAAUAUGAUAUUCGAAAUUGAAUUUUCAAACGUGGGUGAAAAUGUGGGCCGUGAUUCCAUGAAUUGGGCUGAAAUUGGGCCCACUUUGAUGAAACUUGUUGGGCACAAUUAUUUAUUGGGCUGAGAUGAGGCCCGAAUUAUUGUAAUAGGCCUAAAAUUUUAAAGGGCUUUCUUGAGGCCCAUUAAUUUACAUUUAUGAAUGGGCCUAUUGUGGACUUUAAAUUGUAAUUAUUGGUCCCAAAAUUUUCUGGUUAAUAUGAGACCUAUCAAAAUUGUUUGAGUCUGAAUCUAAUCGGUUUCAAUUAUGAUUAGAAAUUUUUUUUUUUUCA
Molecule: long non-coding RNA, 1384 nt
Filed under: Ananas comosus (pineapple)
Lineage: Eukaryota; Viridiplantae; Streptophyta; Magnoliopsida; Poales; Bromeliaceae
Description: long non-coding RNA (ACOM_LNC032641)
Source: RNAcentral